GUCUAUGGCCAUACCACCCUGAACACACCCGAUCUUGUCUGAUCUUGGAAGCUAAGCAGGGUUGGGCCUGGUUAGUACUUGUAUGGGAGACCACCGGGGAAUACUGUAGGUGCUGUAGGCU
RNAcentral lists this ribosomal RNA (121 nucleotides) under Vulpes vulpes (red fox). The record is from RNAcentral. Lineage: Eukaryota; Metazoa; Chordata; Mammalia; Carnivora; Canidae.